CAAAAUUCAAAAUUCAAAAUUCAAACCUGAUCUCUCUCUCUCUAAAACUCUCUCGCAUUGGAACUUUUCAGCUGCUUCUUCUUUCUCAAAUCAUCGUAUUCAUAGGUCUCGAUUUGUCUAAGCCAGGGUUUGAAUCACAACACAACAUAGAAGCACGCCUUUCUUUAUCCGAAAUUGAAACCCUAGAUCUGAUGAACAGGUAAUACCAUGUGCAAGAUCGUAAUAAUUUUCAGUAUCCAGUUUGAUCAGAUUAUAGAUUAUGAACAGUUGUGGAUUCUUUCUGCUGUUAUUUUACUACGAUAACUUCCGAUAUUGUGUAUGAGGAAUAUUUUUGUUCUUUGUUUGGUGUUAGAUUGUGGAGUAUAAUCAAUGCUACCAUCUGAGGUCAUAAAUCUAACUACUUUGGCUUAGUUUAAUGUUCUGUUUUCUGUACUGCAAGUGUUCAUAUAGUGUCUACAUCUAACUUACUUUUAAUAUUACUUUUAGUUAUUUAAGUUAAAGCUGUUUUGAUUUUCGGGAACCACUCUCAUCCUACACAAAUCAAGUUUGGGCAGAGGAUGGUCAUCCUACACCAAUCGAUGUGAUACGACAAACCUUCAACUCACACCAGCGAAAAACAUCCAAUCUAAACUUCGAUCUGAAAGCAGCUUUUUUCGAACAUUGAAAUCACCGUCGUUUAUUAUCUCGGCCAAAUAACUACAAUAGCUGUUGUCCAAUCAACCAAACAACAUUAAUCAGUUGAUGUUAAUCUUUUCUAUUUCAAGCUCUUCUUCAUUUCAACCAGAUCAAUAACAAAUGAAGGCACAACUAACUCGACGGAUCUAAAAUCUCUAAAGAUACACAAGAACACAGCAACUUGCAGACCGUUUUAUCCCAUCCGCACUUCGAUAUAAUCACCUUCAACUUAGAACUGCUUCUUCAAGUAGCCUAGCAUCUUCAACUGGGAAUCCAACCGAACUUAAAACAGAAACGUCAUUAAUUGAUUUUGAUGCUGACCUUGAACCACUUUCUACUGCCCCGGGCCCACAAUGAACAGCAGUUUUGCGUAGAUUAAUCAACGAACGAACUAAUUUCGGACACUUUCUGCAAUGAUUAAAGUUCUGCGGCUGUGGAAUUUUAGCGAAUUAAAGUCAGAUUUUGCGGGCGAUACUACAACGACCUGUUUUUGGGAUCAAUUCUGCGGCAACUGAUUUACGCGAACGAACUUAUAAAACUGCGGAUGAAAUGAUUCUGAUUUCAAAUGGAUAACAAAAAUCCACUGCAAAUGACCAAACCAGAUUUUGCAUUGCAGUAAACUGACAGAUAUCGAUCAAUUCUGGGUCAACAAAUUACGUUACUGAAUCUGCGAAUGAACUUUUAUAUCAGCGUAUGAACCUAAUUUCAUGACUGCGUAAACAAAACUUGAAUCUCGAGCUUUCAGGACAGCGAAUAAACUUCUGCAAAUGAACGUUAAUGCAGCAUAGUUCUGGGCAAUUCAGCAGCGAAUGAUUACUGGUUUCUGUAGCGAAUAUGUUCUUUAAUUUUGCACAGCGAAUAUGUUCUUUAAUUUGCUAUAAUUUUCAUGUUGUUUGUGAACUGAAUUUAGGUUGUGUGUUGUGAAUCGGAAGUGUUUGCGUUAGAUCUGUGAGUUUUAGUUGUAAUCAGAUUAGAGUGUUGGUAGUUUUUUCUUUAGUUUAAUCUCUACCGCAGUUUAUUGUGAUUUUUAGCUGUUCAAUUGCAGUAGAUCGGUUAUGAUCUUAAAUUGUAGCUUUUAAGCAGAGUUUACUUUCUUAAACAUAAGAUUUAAAGUCUUUAAGGGUGUGCGAAUUGGUUUAUUUUUUAUUUCUUGAUCUUAUAUACCAUGUGACUUCAUACUUAUUUAUUCUGAUUACUGGUCUAUUGGAAUACACAAAAAUGGUGAAGAUUUACUGCAUUGGAGUCGGAUAUGUCAGCAGGCCCACUAUGGCUGUUAUAGCACCAAAUGCCUCCACAUUGAAGUGGCUGUAGUCGAUAUUUCUGUCCCUUGUAUCUAUGCCGGGAACAACGACCAGCUCCCCAUCUACGAACCAGGUCUCAAUGAUGUCGUGAAGAAAUGGAUAGGCAAAAACCUCUUUUUCAGCACCGAUGUCGAGAAACACGUCUGUGAAGCCGACAUAGUGUUUGUGUCAGUCAACACGUCCACCAAAACUCGAAGUCUUGGCGCUGGCAAAGCCGCAGAUCUGACAUACUGGGAAAGCGUUGCCCGUAUGAUCGAUGACGUGUCGAAAUCAGACAAAAUCGUAGUUGAAAAGUCAACUGUCCCUGUGAAAACUGUCAAUAUUGUAAGUUUAGUCGUUUUUUUGUUUUGCUUAGUUUUCUGAUUUUGUUUAGGCUUUCAGUACCGACAUCACAAAUUAAAAAGCCACCUAGACGUAAAACUUCACCGCUAAGGUGGUUUCGACGCAAGAAAGGCGAUUCUUACUUGAAACGAAAGCUAAGGCUACUUCAUGUUGAUAAACAAGUGGCAGCUGAUGUGAAGGCUGCGUUCGUCAGGCUCUCAACUUGUGCAUGCAUCGGCGAUCAAGAAUUUAAACAAAUCUUGAAAAAAAUUAGUCAACAUCCUGAUUUAGACGUAAAACUACACCGCUAAGCUGGUUUCGACGCAAGAAAGCAGAGGUUUGUGUUGGUUCAGCAGAGGUUUGUGUUGGUUCAACAGAGGUUUGUGUUCAGCAGAGGUAUUCAUGCGAACUUUAACUUGAAAGACACCUUGGAAAACUUAAAAGCUGAAAUGCCUCACAAAUUUACGCUCCGAACUUAUGGCUUUAAAGUCUCGAUUGUUAGGUUGAUACUAAUUUUGAGCUUGCAUGGUAGUUUUUUAUAUUGUUUCGCAUGUUAUUUUUUCUUGUAGAACUUUAAAAAAGUCAUCAUUUAUCUAUGCUGAUCACCGAAGUUGUGUUGGGUGUACAGAAGUUGUGUUGAAUCUAAUAAAUCCGCAGUGGAUCACAGAAAAAAAUUAAAAGUCUUAUCUGAUGGGAAGCCAGGCUCAAGCAGUGAUGAAGGGCUUUGAGGCUCAAGAAGUGGCGUCAAAAUGCAAGGAUCUGUGUGAGCUUCGGGUUUUCUAGGCUCAUGGUUUCUGAGUUUUUGGCGGCUUCAGCUUUUCAGGUUAGGUGAAUUACAAUCACUUUGUGUAUCAGAAGGUUCUGAAAUCGUCAAAGAGGUAAGUCGUUGCGACUAUGUUGUGUAGCUUCUAUUUUUGUAUAUUUUUUCCGAUUGAUUGGUUUAGAACUAUAUCGCGUUUAUGCAAGGUACUUAUAUCUGUACAUAUAGAUAUAAGAAAAGAGUUAACAUUUUGAACCUUUAAUUUGUGUUAUUAUGAUGCACAUUAUGCAUAUAUGAGUGUACCGUGACUAAUGAUAUUCUAACGUUUGAAUGAGAAAUUUUUUUCAAAGGGGAUUACUAUUCAAUUUAAAGAGGAGGAAGAAAGUAGCUCCUUUCAUGGUGCAUUUGAGCAACGGAAAAGUGACGUAAUGAUUCAAGGUCUGCUACCUUAUGCAAACAUUAUAUACAAUACAUUGAUGAUUAGUUUCUUUUGAAUUUUGUAAUUUCCUUUAUCACAUUAUUACACCUAAUGACAUGAAACAAUAAACCAAGAUUCUUAUUUUUGAGCAGCCA
This is a long non-coding RNA of Helianthus annuus (common sunflower), 3630 nucleotides long. RefSeq lists it as uncharacterized. The transcript is spliced from 7 exons. Lineage: Eukaryota; Viridiplantae; Streptophyta; Magnoliopsida; Asterales; Asteraceae. The record is from RefSeq and is a predicted model, not a curated record.